CUGGCACAGCGUCUCGAAGCGAUAGCUCACACGGAUGUCGGGGACGUUGGUCCGGCGGAUGUCGUUCCCCUCCGGACCCUCCUUCAGGUGGCCCCAGGCUGUCCCGUGGCCCUGCUCACCUCGAAGCGCUGCAUGAACUGGGCCAGGUUUCCCUUCAGCUCCGGACACUCAGGCACGAACAUGCGCUGCUGGUCCAUCACGUCGUACGCCAGGAAGUCCACGAAGGUCCGGGAGCCCAGGAACCGUGACAGCUCCUGCAGCUUCUUGGGCAGCUGCUCCAGUUUGCCAGGACAGCGAGACCUAAGACCCAAGCCUCCCACCUCAAGCAUCUGGAAGACCACUGCCUAGCAAAUGAGAUCACACAUGCUAACAAAGAAACUGAAAGAGAUAACAAAUCAAGGAAGUGAUUCCAGAUAAAAAGGGGUGGAAGAAAGGGAGAUGUGUGAACUGCAGGAGAAAAACGGAAUUGUAACGGGUUUUCUCAGCAACACCCAGAUCUGUUCGCUCACUUGUUAUUGCCUGCUCUAAUUAUAAUAAAUUACUUUUAAUUGA
Long non-coding RNA from Catharus ustulatus (Swainson's thrush), 552 nucleotides. RefSeq lists it as uncharacterized. Lineage: Eukaryota; Metazoa; Chordata; Aves; Passeriformes; Turdidae. The transcript is spliced from 4 exons. The record is from RefSeq and is a predicted model, not a curated record.